CCCUUAGAUGUUCUGGGCCGCACGCGCGCUACACUGAUGCAUUCAACGAGUCCAACCUUGACCGAGAGGUCCGGGUAAUCUUUGAAACUGCAUCGUGAUGGGGCUAGAUUAUUGCAAUUAUUAAUCUUCAACGAGGAAUGCCCAGUAAGCGUGAUUCAUCAAAUCGCGUUGAUUACGUCCCUGCCCUUUGUACACACCGCCCGUCGCUCCUACCGAUUGAGUGUGUUGGUGAGGAGUUUGGAUUGGCCUCGGAAGGUGGUUCGCCACCGUCCGUAGCUGAGAAGUUCUCCAAACCGCCCCACUUAGAGGAAGGAGAAGUCGUAACA
RNAcentral lists this ribosomal RNA (326 nucleotides) under uncultured eukaryote. RNAcentral's name for it is "partial 18S ribosomal RNA". It matches the Rfam family "Eukaryotic small subunit ribosomal RNA", at positions 1470 to 1796 of the family's 1831-position model. The record is from RNAcentral.